This 497-nucleotide ribosomal RNA is filed under the name uncultured bacterium. Its description in RNAcentral is "partial 16S ribosomal RNA". It matches the Rfam family "Bacterial small subunit ribosomal RNA", at positions 28 to 507 of the family's 1533-position model. The record is from RNAcentral.
GAUGAACGCUGGCGGCGUGCCUAAUACAUGCAAGUCGAGCGAACGGACGAGAAGCUUGCUUUUCUGUUGUUAGCGGCGGACGGGUGAGUAACACGUGGAUAACCUACCUAUAAGACUGGGAUAACUUCGGGAAACCGGAGCUAAUACCGGAUAAUAUUUUGAACCGCAUGGUUCAAAAGUGAAAGACGGUCUUGCUGUCACUUAUAGAUGGAUCCGCGCUGCAUUAGCUAGUUGGUAAGGUAACGGCUUACCAAGGCAACGAUGCAUAGCCGACCUGAGAGGGUGAUCGACCACACUGGAACUGAGACACGGUCCAGACUCCUACGGGAGGCAACAGUAGGGAAUCUUCCGCAAUGGGCGAAAGCCUGACGGAGCAACGCCGCGUGAAUGAUGAAGGUCUUCGGAUCGUAAAACUCUGUUAUUAGGGAAGAACAUAUGUGUAAGUAACUGUGCACAUCUUGACGGUACCUAAGCAAAAAGCCACGGCUGACUACGUG